ACUGUGAUUAUUUGUAAGUCGCUCUGGAUAAGAGCGUCUGCUAAAUGACUUAAA
This is a non-coding RNA of Salmo salar (Atlantic salmon), 54 nucleotides long. NCBI's taxonomy places the organism in Eukaryota, Metazoa, Chordata, Actinopteri, Salmoniformes, Salmonidae. The record is from Rfam.